CCUUGGCGUCACGGGCCGGGGUGGGAGCCCACUAGCCCACUGGCCAGUCAGUGACAUUGCCCCGAGCGCCCCCGGCGCCGCACCACCAUUCCUGCCGCCGGCCGGCGUCCGCCGCCGCAACAGGAUGGUUGUUCUGUACUACCAGUACCAGCCAACCCGCCCGGCACUCCCCCGCGCUUCGCCGUCGCAGCGAAAAAUGAAGUGUCUUCCACUUUCCUGAUACAAGCAAAGGACGCCAAAAAUAUUUAUUAUCAUCUCAAGUUGAGUCUACCAUAAAUUAAGAAACUGCUAGAUCACUGUAAGUUGUACUGCUCAAUAGCCUAUCUUUGUCUAUGAACUUUAUCACGACCAUUACUUUAGCUAAGUUCAGUAAGUUGGUAUCAAAAUCCAAGUUUACUACAUGCUUCCAGAUGAUAGAUACAAAUUGUGUGAUUCAUGUCCACAACGUCACUGUCUUUGAUCUCUAUCGCUUCAGGCUUUCACAAUUAGUUAUCCAUGGGACCUGCCUAUAGGCUAUAGCCUAUAGCUCAACCAUUUAUCUUCACAAGGGGCACAUUCGAAUCCCAACUACUAUUCAGUUUUGUAUCAAGAUAUUUGCUCGAUGACACUGGAAACUCUGCAGUUUAGCAACCUGGAAUCUUUGGAAUAGGUUGUAUAUUGACAACAGAGUAAAGUGUCAUUCUAAAAGUUAUUGCUACCCUGAUUGCCCACGAUAGAAUGGGAAGUAAUUAAGAUUCUCUUUCUCUCUUUUCUAACAUUUGCAGUGAAUACUCUUUUGAUUGUUAUUGGGGACAGGUUGUUGAAAAUGGGUAGAACACUGUUCCUUUCUCGUGGUCCUUUAGUGCAAUGCAGAUAUUCCACUCUGAAGUUAAACUAGAUUAAGAAUUUGCUUUUUGCCUUAAUUUAUAAGAAGCCUUUUUGAAAGUGACAAGGGCAUUUGCUAGUUAUUAAAUGGUUAGCACUUUGACAGAGUAGAUGUUAGAUUAAAUGGACUUUUCAGUUUGCACUUGGACAAAAGCUCAUAGGUCCUUUUAGAACUUAGAAGUAUCCCUGGCCUUUGGAUUUUGCGUUUGGGUUGGUUUUUAUAUGAAAAGGUCAGUCAACUUGUUUUCAUCACGUUCAUGUGUAUGUAUGCAUCCCUAUUGUUUGAUGCUGCUGCUCUUUUUGAACAUGGCAUGAUGGAUUUCCUAUGGUUGCAUCGUAUAUUUAAAAUUGCCUUAGCUUUUUUUUUGAGAUCUAAAAUUGCCUUAGUUAGAACUUAGAAGUUUGCUUCCAAAAGUUUAGUUCUGCUCAGUGGAGAAACUGGAUUUGGGGCAAGGCUAUUGUCCUGUAAACUGUAAUGCACAUACAUUUCUUUUCUUAAGGUGAGAUACUCUUAGUAAUGCUCAUUUGCUUCCAUGACUGAUCUAUUCAUAACAACAUUUUUUUUCAAGAACCCUUGUGAAGGUUGUUUAAAGUUUGAUAGAAAUGGAUUCAAAUUUUCUUAUCAAGGAAAAGAAAGUUGUCCUCCCCAUUAUUUGAUUCCAAGGAAUGUAAAAAUUCUUUAUCUUCAUCUAAAGCUGAAUAUAGACUCUAAAAUAAGAGAGGGCGACACCACCAUAUGUUGUCUACUGUCCAAUAGCCUAUCUAUAUCUACUGUCCAAUAGCCUAUAUCUAUAUCUAUGAGCUUUAUCACAACAUUAGUUCCAAUAAGGUGAUAUCUAAAUUCAGAAGUCCACUACAUGCUUCCAGAUGAUUGAUAGGAAUAGGGUAAUCCAUGUCCCUGGGGAUACUUUCUUUAAUCUCUAUAGGUCUCUCAGGUUUACACAAGCAGAUUCACAUAGACCAUUCGUCCAUGAGACCUUUGGCCUAUAUAGAUCAAUAGUUCAUCUUCAUAAAGAACAUGUUCAAUGUCCCAGUAGUAUUUUUUUUUCAAACUAGUAGUGCAUGGUUUUAUUUAUCAGGAUAUAUCCUCUGUAACACUGGAAACUCUGCAGCUUAGGAGUUGAAAUGCACAAGUUAGUUCACAUAACUGUAAAGUAUCGUUUUGAAAUUUGUAUAUUAACACAAGGGAGAAAUAAAUGUUAAGCAAACCGCUUUGUGUUUAAGUGUUUGUGUUGUUCGAUGUGCUGUGUUUAGGUGCAAUCCUGUAUAGCAGUAACAGAGUGCUUGAGUUGUUUGAUGUAUGUGUGAUGUUGAGUAUAGGUUUGGCUGCUGAGCCUCUUCUUUUGUAGUUUACACCCUUGUCUUAGGUGUUCACAAAUAAUCAUGUGUAGUCUUGCCUUUAGGUGGAAAUAUUGUUAUCAUUUGUAAGACCUCUAACUUCAUGCUAUUAACCUUUUAUUGCUCUUUGGAAAACCAUACAACUUGUCCUGGGGGCAAAGAUGAAAAAACAGUAAGUGGGCCAAGUCCAAUAGGCUGAUAGAUUGUACUGGUCAAUUCAGCCCACUAGAUAUUACAAGUGUGAAGUGUCUGUCAACUAAAGAAUUCUUGUUCUCACUUCAAGCCUGAGGAAAACUUCCGUGUUGUCAUGGAAACUUCUGAUCUCUUGGCAAUUCUUUAUUGUGAUGUGUUACUUUUCACUUACUUUCAUGACUUCCUGUGAAUGUAUAUACAAUUAAAACAUGUCGCUUCUUUUCUGAAAAGAAAAUACAUUUGGCUUCAUUCUCUCUGCUGGCUCUCUGGUGUUCUUUUUUUUUUUUGAUGGGGCUCUCUGGCGUUCUACUACUUCAAUUCUGCGUCUGUACAUGUUGCAGGUCAAACCAAUUGGUCCAAGUGAUAAUGGCAUAUUGGAACGUAGUAAUUCUAACAAUUGAUCAACGACAUUAAAGAUCAAUUAUAACACUGAUGAUAAUGAAAGUUGAGAAUGGUUUCCUCAACGCACAGCUACUUCUAUAAUUAAAUGACACACAGCUCCCUUCCGUAUUCGAGAGAGGGAGGGAGAAUUCCAUUCUGUACUAUAUCACUAUUGCUUGCAUCCUUGCGACUGUACAAGCAAGAUUUCAUGCUAAGAACCUGGGUGCAUUGCACAACAAAGCUUUUCCUCAGGUGAUUUCUGUGUUAAGACGCAUGCUGGCUUGAUAAAUGAUUGAUCUUCGAGAUGAUCUCUACAUUUUGUGCCUUUUGUUUUUUGAUGAGAGGGUUCACUGACUUCUCAGUUUUACUGUUAUACUUAGACCCUUUGGUGUUACUAGAAAACAUACCAGCCGUCCAGCUGUGUAACUUUCUGACUUGUAUUGACCCUCUUAUCAGUUUGAGCAUCGUGUUAUUCUGAUUCUGAUUAUCAUUGUCAGAUGGAUGUCUGAAGGUAGUCGAGGACCAUGGUUUUCUCACAACAAUUUUGUUGUAGUUUGUAAGGACUAAUUAAACUAUCAUUUGUACAAUCAGGCAUGCAGCUCCAGGUUCCUACCCUUGAACUAAAUGGCAGGAUGGGCAUAUAGUGCGAACUCUAUUUUUGGCUUUUUAAGUUUUCCCAACUGGAAGCUCUGCCUGUGUAAAUUUAGAGAAAUUUAUGAAACCUAUCAAUCUAGGAAAAAUCAACUUUCAAAUCACAUCCUAUAUGCAACCUUCUUGUACUUGGGUACAGAAUUGCAUUGGAGAUAUAUUGUUAAAUACAUAAUUUUUUUUGGACACUCCAUUUCUUAGGAAAGUAUGCUGUAGGAAAUCCUCACAGAUCUUGUGAGGUCCGUUUUAUUCUGACCUCAGCAUUUAGAUGUAUAUGUAAAUCUAACUUCUUGACACCAAUUGAACAUAGCACUAGCUAUGAUCUUGCAUAUCUUUUAGGUACAUGUACAUAUACUUAAACCAUACUUAUUGUUAUCAAUUUCACACAGUCCAAAUUGUA
Molecule: long non-coding RNA, 3823 nt
Organism: Panicum virgatum (switchgrass)
Lineage: Eukaryota; Viridiplantae; Streptophyta; Magnoliopsida; Poales; Poaceae
Exons: 2
Source: RefSeq, a predicted model, not a curated record